Molecule: transfer RNA, 63 nt
Filed under: Rattus norvegicus (Norway rat)
Lineage: Eukaryota; Metazoa; Chordata; Mammalia; Rodentia; Muridae
Rfam family: tRNA
About the family: Transfer RNA (tRNA) molecules are approximately 80 nucleotides in length.
Source: Rfam by way of RNAcentral
GGGGAUUUGGCUCAGCGGUAGAGCGCUUGCCUAGCAAGUGCAAGGCCCUGGGUUCAGUCCCCA